Molecule: ribosomal RNA, 254 nt
Filed under: uncultured bacterium
Lineage: Bacteria
Description: partial 16S ribosomal RNA
Rfam family: Bacterial small subunit ribosomal RNA
Source: RNAcentral
UACGUAGGGUGCGAGCGUUUAAUCGGAAUUACUGGGCGUAAAGCGUGCGUAGGUGGUUCGUUAAGUCUGUCGUGAAAGCCCCGGGCUCAACCUGGGAAUGGCGAUGGAUACUGGCGGGCUAGAGUGCGGUAGAGGAGAGUGGAAUUCCCGGUGUAGCAGUGAAAUGCGUAGAGAUCGGGAGGAACAUCAGUUGCGAAGGCGGCUCUCUGGACCAGCACUGACACUGAGGCACGAAAGCGUGGGGAGCAAACAGG